CACCUGUGGUGGGGAGUGGUCCACCCAUCAAUAGAGAUGGUCCGUUUGAAGCUGAAGCACCAGCGCAUGUGUCAAAAAAAAGACAACACAGUGUUUCAGAAGCACUGCAUCGACUGUAGUCAUAGAAAUCAAUAUUAGACCACCUUUGUUUUUUUCAAUUUCUUCUUGCCUGGCACCACUGAAGCGCGUGGAAGCAGGGACCUGACAGCACAACGACACUCCCAAGAUGCCACCAAAGAGGACUGUGUUGAGGAGCUUCCAGUAAUGAACCCUUUUUCGAUACAAGCUUCAGUGCUUCAGAAGGCUUCAGUUGGUCAUCACUUCCUAUCAGCUCAUCAUCCUGCUCCAUAUGAGCCUGGCUCAGACCAGGACAUGACUGUGGACCAUUGAAUGACUCUCAGGUGGUGUACAUCACCGUAGAGGAUCUGCACAAAGCUGAAAUCAGCUAAGGCUGCUUCUCUCCAUUUACAUGUCCUUGUUCUGAGAAGUUACAGCCCACAGUUACUGACCAUUAGCCAAAGACUAGUAUGGAGUGGUGGGAAGAUCAGUUCUAGGUGUUCUGUUGAGUGUAAGCAGGUGUAGAGGUUUUUGAGUUUAAAUGAAUAAAAUC
Molecule: long non-coding RNA, 610 nt
Organism: Amphiprion ocellaris (clown anemonefish)
Lineage: Eukaryota; Metazoa; Chordata; Actinopteri; Pomacentridae
Source: Ensembl